Molecule: ribosomal RNA, 243 nt
Filed under: uncultured bacterium
Lineage: Bacteria
Description: partial 16S ribosomal RNA
Rfam family: Bacterial small subunit ribosomal RNA
Source: RNAcentral
UGGCAAGCGUUGUCCGGAUUUAUUGGGCGUAAAGGGAACGCAGGCGGUCUUUUAAGUCUGAUGUGAAAGCCUUCGGCUUAACCGGAGUAGUGCAUUGGAAACUGUGAGACUUGAGUGCAGAAGAGGAGAGUGGAACUCCAUGUGUAGCGGUGGAAUGCGUAGAUAUAUGGAAGAACACCAGUGGCGAAGGCGGCUCUCUGGUCUGUAACUGACGCUGAGGCUCGAAAGCAUGGGUAGCGAACA